GUCCACGCCGUAAACGAUGUCUACUAGCCGUUGGGGUCCUUGAGACUUUAGUGGCGCAGCUAACGCACUAAGUAGACCGCCUGGGGAGUACGGUCGCAAGAUUAAAACUCAAAUGAAUUGACGGGGGCCCGCACAAGCGGUGGAGCAUGUGGUUUAAUUCGAAGCAACGCGAAGAACCUUACCUACUCUUGACAUCCAGUGAACUUUGCAGAGAUGCAUUGGUGCCUUCGGGAACACUGAGAC
This 243-nucleotide ribosomal RNA is filed under the name uncultured bacterium. Its description in RNAcentral is "partial 16S ribosomal RNA". It matches the Rfam family "Bacterial small subunit ribosomal RNA", at positions 793 to 1035 of the family's 1533-position model. The record is from RNAcentral.